AUGACAACCAGUGCCUUGGGCCUGGCUUUUCGCGUUCUUCGGACUAGCCAGAGGCUCAGGUUGGUGACCGAGCGGCAGAGUUCCUAGCGCCUGCAGUGUGGUGAACUCCAACUUUUAGGCCAAGUUGAAAAUGCAGCCGACGACCCCCACACUUCUAACUUCAGAAUCAAAACUAUGACCCUAGGGAGUGAGGAGGAGAGUGAAAAAUGCGUAAGUGCUGGCUCCUCCCUUACUCUUCGCUGCCUCUCAGCCUUGUUUCUAUAUUCUCACGGGGCGCUUUGGUCUUUGAAAGGAAGAGGAGAAUGGGGGAGAGGAAGAGCAUGGCUUUGCCAGCUCCUUGCAGCAAUAUAGCAACUUAGAAAUGGCGGGGUCAACGAAAAAAGCCCGGCUAGUGUGAGAAACACCAACAGCAGGCCCAUCUCAGAUCUUCACUAUGGCAACUUAUGCAAGAAACUGUUGAAUUA
Molecule: long non-coding RNA, 464 nt
Filed under: Homo sapiens (human)
Lineage: Eukaryota; Metazoa; Chordata; Mammalia; Primates; Hominidae
Description: non-protein coding lnc-SLC10A6-4:1
Source: RNAcentral